UGCAUAUCAAUAAGCGGAGGAAAAGAAACCAACCGGGAUUGCCUUAGUAACGGCGAGUGAAGCGGCAAAAGCUCAAAUUUGAAAUCUGGUACCUUCGGUGCCCGAGUUGUAAUUUGGAGAGGGCAACUUUGGGGCCGUUCCUUGUCUAUGUUCCUUGGAACAGGACGUCAUAGAGGGUGAGAAUCCCGUGUGGCGAGGAGUGCGGUUCUUUGUAAAGUGCCUUCGAAGAGUCGAGUUGUUUGGGAAUGCAGCUCUAAGUGGGUGGUAAAUUCCAUCUAAAGCUAAAUAUUGGCGAGAGACCGAUAGCGAACAAGUACAGUGAUGGAAAGAUGAAAAGAACUUUGAAAAGAGAGUGAAAAAGUACGUGAAAUUGUUGAAAGGGAAGGGCAUUUGAUCAGACAUGGUGUUUUGUGCCCUCUGCUCCUUGUGGGUAGGGGAAUCUCGCAUUUCACUGGGCCAGCAUCAGUUUUGGUGGCAGGAUAAAUCCAUAGGAAUGUAGCUUGCCUCGGUAAGUAUUAUAGCCUGUGGGAAUACUGCCAGCUGGGACUGAGGACUGCGAC
RNAcentral lists this ribosomal RNA (560 nucleotides) under Yarrowia lipolytica. RNAcentral's name for it is "LSU rRNA". It matches the Rfam family "Eukaryotic large subunit ribosomal RNA", at positions 37 to 600 of the family's 3401-position model. Lineage: Eukaryota; Fungi; Ascomycota; Dipodascomycetes; Dipodascales. The record is from RNAcentral.